UAAGCAUAUCACUAAGCGGAGGAAAAGAAACUAACAAGGAUUCCCUCGGCCGGCGGGAACUGUGGUGUAUGGGACACCAACUGUCGUCAGACCGGACGCCGAAGUCCUCCUGAUCGGGGCCUCUCCCAGAGCGGGUGUCAGGCCUUUACUGGCGUCUGGUCGGUCGGCUGCGAGCGUCUCUCGAGUCGGGUUGUUUGGGAAUGCAGCCCAAAGAGGGUGGUAAACUCCAUCUAAGGCUAAAUACUGGCACGAGUCCGAUAGC
This 262-nucleotide ribosomal RNA is filed under the name Austrolittorina unifasciata. Its description in RNAcentral is "partial 28S ribosomal RNA". It matches the Rfam family "Eukaryotic large subunit ribosomal RNA", at positions 35 to 341 of the family's 3401-position model. The record is from RNAcentral. Lineage: Eukaryota; Metazoa; Mollusca; Gastropoda; Littorinimorpha; Littorinidae.